GCGUAGAGGGCUCGCAGGCGGUUUCUUAAGUCUGAUGUGAAAGCCCCCGGCUCAACCGGGGAGGGUCAUUGGAAACUGGGAAACUUGAGUGCAGAAGAGGAGAGUGGAAUUCCACGUGUAGCGGUGAAAUGCGUAGAGAUGUGGAGGAACACCAGUGGCGAAGGCGACUCUCUGGUCUGUAACUGACGCUGAGGAGCGAAAGCGUGGGGAGCGAACAGGAUUAGAUACCCUGGUAGUCCACGCCGUAAACGAUGAGUGCUAAGUGUUAGGGGGUUUCCGCCCCUUAGUGCUGCAGCUAACGCAUUAAGCACUCCGCCUGGGGAGUACGGUCGCAAGACUGAAACUCAAAGGAAUUGACGGGGGCCCGCACAAGCGGUGGAGCAUGUGGUUUAAUUCGAAGCAACGCGAAGAACCUUACCAGGUCUUGACAUCCUCUGACAACCCUAGAGAUAGGGCUUUCCCUUCGGGGACAGAGUGACAGGUGGUGCAUGGUUGUCGUCAGCUCGUGUCGUGAGAUGUUGGGUUAAGUCCCGCAACGAGCGCAACCCUUGAUCUUAGUUGCCAGCAUUUAGUUGGGCACUCUAAGGUGACUGCCGGUGACAAACCGGAGGAAGGUGGGGAUGACGUCAAAUCAUCAUGCCCCUUAUGACCUGGGCUACACACGUGCUACAAUGGACAGAACAAAGGGCUGCAAGACCGCAAGGUUUAGCCAAUCCC
This 717-nucleotide ribosomal RNA is filed under the name Bacillus pumilus. Its description in RNAcentral is "bacterial SSU rRNA". It matches the Rfam family "Bacterial small subunit ribosomal RNA", at positions 558 to 1275 of the family's 1533-position model. The record is from RNAcentral. Lineage: Bacteria; Bacillati; Bacillota; Bacilli; Caryophanales; Bacillaceae.